RNAcentral lists this ribosomal RNA (468 nucleotides) under uncultured bacterium. RNAcentral's name for it is "partial 16S ribosomal RNA". It matches the Rfam family "Bacterial small subunit ribosomal RNA", at positions 27 to 507 of the family's 1533-position model. The record is from RNAcentral.
GGACGAACGCUGGCGGCGUGCUUAACACAUGCAAGUCGAACGGAAAGGCCUAGCUUGCUGGGUACUCGAGUGGCGAACGGGUGAGUAACACGUGGGUGAUCUGCCCCUGACUUUGGGAUAAGCCUGGGAAACUGGGUCUAAUACCGGAUAUUCAUUUUUCCUCGCAUGGGGAUUUGUGGAAAGCUUUUGCGGUUGGGGAUGGGCCCGCGGCCUAUCAGCUUGUUGGUGGGGUAAUGGCCUACCAAGGCGACGACGGGUAGCCGACCUGAGAGGGUGAUCGGCCACACUGGGACUGAGACACGGCCCAGACUCCUACGGGAGGCAGCAGUGGGGAAUAUUGCACAAUGGGCGCAAGCCUGAUGCAGCGACGCCGCGUGAGGGAUGACGGCCUUCGGGUUGUAAACCUCUUUCAGCUCCGACGAAGCGCAAGUGACGGUAGGAGCAGAAGAAGCACCGGCCAACUACGUG